AAAGAACAUGCACAAAUAUCAGCAAUAAUGAAACCCUUGUUGAGUGGCCCAAGUAAUUUUGCUGAGAAGAAAAUCAUUGAGGUCAAUGUGAGAGACAUCCCUUCAAAAGUACUGCAAGGAGAGUGCACAUAUUUUACCUACACAUAUUAGUACAUCCACAGCUCCACAGGGAUUUUUAAAUUCCCAUUUCACCUGAAACUACACUAGAACUUCUGAUGGCUUUGAACUUUCUUGAUUGU
This 239-nucleotide long non-coding RNA is filed under the name Homo sapiens (human). RNAcentral describes it as "non-protein coding lnc-CDY1B-12:1". Lineage: Eukaryota; Metazoa; Chordata; Mammalia; Primates; Hominidae. The record is from RNAcentral.